AGCGGAGGAAAAGAAACUAACAAGGAUUCCCCUAGUAACGGCGAGUGAAGCGGGAAGAGCUCAAAUUUGUAAUCUGGCCCUUUCAGGGUCCGAGUUGUAAUCUCGAGAAGUGUUUUCCGCGUCGGACUGCAUACAAGUCUAUUGGAAUAUAGCGUCAUAGUGGUGAGAGCCCCGUAACUGAUGCAGAUGCCCGAUGCUUUGUGAUACACUUUCGAAGAGUCGAGUUGUUUGGGAAUGCAGCUCAAAUUGGGUGGUAAAUUCCAUCUAAAGCUAAAUAUUGGCGAGAGACCGAUAGCGAACAAGUACCGUGAGGGAAAGAUGAAAAGCACUUUGGAAAGAGAGUUAACAGUACGUGAAAUUGUUGGAAGGGAAACGCUUGAAAUCAGACUUGCUAUUCGGAAUUCAGCCGCAAGGUGUACUUUUCGAUUUGCAGGCCAGCAUCAGUUUUUGGGGGUGGAAAAGGGUGGAGAGAAGGUAGCAACCCCGGUUGUGUUAUAGCUCUUCACUGGAUUCAUCUUUGGGGACUGAGGAUCGCAGUGCGCAUUUAUUUGCAAACCUCUCGAGGUUUUCGUACUUAGGAUGCUGGUGGAAUGGUUUUAAACGACCCGUCUUGAACCACGGACCA
RNAcentral lists this ribosomal RNA (625 nucleotides) under Glaciozyma martinii. RNAcentral describes it as "partial large subunit ribosomal RNA". It matches the Rfam family "Eukaryotic large subunit ribosomal RNA", at positions 49 to 668 of the family's 3401-position model. Lineage: Eukaryota; Fungi; Basidiomycota; Microbotryomycetes; Kriegeriales; Camptobasidiaceae. The record is from RNAcentral.